CGCCGGGGGCCGACCUGCCGGCUCCUCCCCCCGCCGCCCAGCGAGCAUAAAGCCCCGCGCUCGCCCGCGCGCCCAGGCGCCCGCGGAGGCGGCGGCGCCCGGACCCCACUCCCGUUGGGCUCCCGGGUCCUCGAGGGCAAGAGAGACCCCGAAUCCCGAGGCGGGCCGGGACCUGGGCGCGGCCGCACCCCACACCCACCCUGGCUCGGGGGCCGGGCCGCGGGAACGCCCUCCCGGAAUGAAGCGCUUCCCGGUGCCUUCAAGGUAGCUCGGUUCCGGAUCGGGGACCUCCCCAGUCCUCCCUCUCAGGUCCCUGCUCUCCUGAAUCUAAGAGGUCCCCAAUCUCUCUGGGUCGGGCGGGAGAUAGCCCCCCAAUCCUCUCACGUUCCAACUGGCGAGGAUCCCUCCAUUCUCCCAGUCGGAGCGAUUAUCGCCCUCCGAGCCCCCAAUUUCCUCUGAACCUAAUUGAGGGGUCCCUUUCAUUGGCCCUCAGUCCACUCCCAGUGUCCCAUGUCCCCCAUAUGCAAUGUGGGAACCCCUCUCAGUGCCUCGCGUCCCGAGCGGGAAGCCUCCACCAGCACCCACUAGAAACCGUGUCAGUUCUCCUCAACCCUUUCGGUCUCCGAGUGAGAAUUCCCCUCAGGUCCCCCAAACCCCUUCGUCCAGAGUCGAAGAAAACUCCCAGCCCCGAGCUCGGGUCUUUAGUUUGCCGUGCCCCGCGGCCCCCCACCCCCCACCCUCGGGUGUGAGGCGUCGCCACUGUUUCCCUCUCUCCCUGGCUCACUCUUGUCAGCCCUACUCGGACUUCUGUCUAGAUUCGGGAACGCCGGUUCCAGAGUCUCCCCGUCCACUCCCCACGGAAGCUGUAAGAAAGAGUUCUAACCCCACCCCAUCGGAUUGGAAGUACCUAAGCUGCCGGCCCACUGUGUUUGGAGUGACUUCUCUCAGUCCAUCUCAAUUUAGACCACUCCCCAUGGAGGCAAAUGCCUUCCCGGCUUCCUUCUCCCCCCCACCCUGGCUUCUAGGUCUCUGAGAUCCUCCAGUGUUUUCGCCCCAGGCUCCUGGGAACCAUCUCACCCACCCCCUUAAACUCCCUCCCUCUAGCCUGGGAACCCGGAGGAAGCCCAUCCUGGAUCACCUCUGGAUCAAGAGUACUCUCCCUGUCUCCCCUUCUCCAAAUCCAUGUCCCCGCCUCAAUCCCCUGGCUGAAAUCAGCCAAGAAACUGUCAAAGCCAAAGGCUGAGGCAGCCAGCCACUCCUGCUCAAAUCCCUAACCCUGCUGGGGGUCUCAGUGCCACAUAAGCCACUCCCGCCCAAUUGCCUCCCACUCCUUCCCCCACCCACCUUCAAUCUAGCCAGUGUAACCCAGUGACAGUCCUUGAUGACAAGUUCCUUGCCCACCUUGACCUCCAUUCUCAAGUCACCCACCUUUUUAUUAAUGUGUGCUAGAGCUCUGGGCAACACAACCCUGACCUCUGUAAGGGUGCCCAUCCCCCUCCUCUUAGUACACCUCCCCUGCCCCCACCCCAACUACCUCUGGGAUAAGAACAUGAGAGACUCAAGUUAAUGGUUUCCUCUGGGACCUUCUGGGAACACUCAGCAGGUAUAUCCUGCCACCCUGUAUGCAUGACACUAGAAACAACUUGCUUUUUCCUGUUUUUUGUUUGUUGGUUGGUUUGUUUGUUUGUUUGUUUGUUUAUCAUCAGACUCAAACCACAAUUUCUCAGAAUUCCCUGGACUGGGGGUGGGGGACACCCCACCAUGGGGCAUUUCUCACCAUUUUAGUACAAACUGGAACAUCAGGUGUGUCCUGGAAGAGACUCCUGGGGGUCAGUGGGGAGUACCUCUGGUGUUAGGGCACUGACUAUUCCUAAGUCUAAACCUCUGGUUUCCUGUGUGUAAAACGGGGCCAGUGUGGAGUUGCAGGGAGCCGGGAGCCCCAGGGGCCCAUAAGCAUUGAUUUUGGUGCUGGUGCUGUUGGGCAGGUGGCUUGGAGGGUAGGAAAUGAGUAAAGGUCAUCUGUUCAGAGCCAGCCAAGCCUGCAUGAGAUAGGAUCUAUUUAUGAGCAUCUUCAUGCAGGAUCUUAAAAGAGGAAGCCUCUGCUUAUUGACACUACCUGUCACAUGUGGGGUGAACUUACAGAACCUCCUACUGCAGGUUCACCCCAGUUUCACUGCUUCCUUUCACUUUGUUCACAGUAGGGACAAAGAUUCCUUCUAGGGGUAGCCCUCACAGACAAUACAGGUGUAAAUGGAUGAUCCUCACAGUAAAUUGAAGAUCUCAGCCAUAUUAAGAAAAAAAUGAUCUUUAGAGCAACGGGCCCAGACCCCAGAAUUAGGCAAUUAGAGGAUAUGGUUCCAGCUCUUUCUCUCUAAUUUGAUGCACCCUGAACAUCACUCAGAGAAUUCAAGCAUAAAUUGCUUUAUAUUUUUAAAAAAUCCUUUAGAGAAAUACAGUGGGCAAAUGACAUCAUGCCCAAGCACCGAGAUGCAACUUGGCACUUUCAUUCAUUCCACAAAUGUUUAUUGAACACCUAAGACACUGUGUUAGGUGCUAUCUUCCUAUUACCUACCUAGUGAAACUUGUUCACUAGAGACAGGAGUCAGAAGAUAGAUAGAUAGAUAGAUAGAUAGAUAGAUAGAUAGAUAGAUAGAUAGAUAAAUUAGUAAUAUAUCAGGUGGAUGUUGGUAAGUGCUAGGGAGAAGGAAGGGGAAUAGGGAGGGUGGAGGCAUGGGGGAGAUGGUGAUAUGCAAUUGUAAAUCAGGAAAGUUCUCACAGAGAGGGUGAUGUUUUAGCAAAGACCUUAAGGAAAUGAGAUCCUUUACUCUGUUAUCCAGAAUUCUCACUUAAGCCGCAGGUCUGCAUCUUUUAAGUGCAAUGAUAAUUAAUAUUCAUCAUUUGAUUUUCACUGCUCUAAAACAGUGGUUCCCAAACUUUAACAUGCAUUAAAAAAAAAAAAUCAUCCAGUGAUUUUCAGAUGCAGAGUGGAUGGGGGCUCUGAAAACUGCAUCUUUUUAACAAGCACCUCUAUCUGAUGAUGCUGAUAACUGAGGUUUUCCUUGGACCACUGUUGAAGAAACACUAUUUUUAAAUAUACUAAAGAGUCUUCUAGAAUGACAACAACAACAAAAUUAAAGAUUAAAUUACAGUCUGUGUGGUUUUGGUGUUGAGAGUAUUUCACUGUGUUCUCAUUCUCUGAAAAUGCAAUACCCAAGCAAAACCCUGGAUUACCCAGAACAUCCCAUUUCUUGUCCAUACAGGAGAAGGAAAAAUUUACCAUAAGCUAAUAAGGAGCCAAACAUUUAUAAUAACAUUUAUAACUAGUGUGUUUUACACACUUUUCCCCAUUUUUACCCUCAUUCUUCUCUAUAAUUUUUACUUUUUCUAAAUUUCUGGACUCAUCCAUCAGGCAGCUGGCUGGAAUAAUGAGAGCACUUGACCAAGAGUCAAAGGAUCCACAGGUUAAUCCUGGAACCACCACUGUUUCCCGUUGAGUGUCUCUUGGGAUUUGCCACUCUGCCUUCUGAGCUUCCAUUUACUCUCAGUUGCUGUGAGACUUAAGUGAGAUAAUGUAUAUGAAAACAUCUUAAGAAUUCUGUAGGUAAGGAGGCUCUGUGACUGCAUUCCCAGGUCUGAUUAACUUGGUCCAGUUCAAAAUUCAGUUACUUCAGGACAGUGUGGAACUGGCAUGAGGACGUACAUAUAGAUCAAUAGAAUAGAUUUGAGGUCAGAAAUAAACCCUUACAUUUAUGAUCA
This 3756-nucleotide long non-coding RNA is filed under the name Sus scrofa (pig). RNAcentral describes it as "lncRNA (ENSSSCG00070006908.1)". The record is from RNAcentral. Lineage: Eukaryota; Metazoa; Chordata; Mammalia; Artiodactyla; Suidae.